This 497-nucleotide ribosomal RNA is filed under the name uncultured bacterium. RNAcentral's name for it is "partial 16S ribosomal RNA". It matches the Rfam family "Bacterial small subunit ribosomal RNA", at positions 28 to 507 of the family's 1533-position model. The record is from RNAcentral.
GAUGAACGCUGGCGGCGUGCCUAAUACAUGCAAGUCGAGCGAACAGACGAUGAGCUUGCUCCUCUGACGUUAGCGGCGGACGGGUGAGUAACACGUGGAUCAUCUACCUAUAAGUCUGGGAUAACUUCGGGACACCGGAGCUUAUACCGGAUAAUCUAUUGAACCGCAUGGUUCAAUAGUGAAAUACGGUUUUGCUGUCACUUAUAGCUGGAUCCGCGCCUCAUUAGCUAGUUGGUAAGUUAACGGCUUACCAAGGCAACGAUGCGUAGCCGACCUGAGAGGGUGGUCGGCCACACUGGAACUGGGACACGGUCCAGACGCCUACGGGAGGCAGCAGUCGGGAAUCGUAGGCAAUGGGCGAAAGCAUGACGGAGCAGCGGCGAGUGAGUGAUGAAGGUCUUCGGAUCGUAAAAACCUGUUAUUAGGGAAGAACAAAUGUGUAAGUAAAUAUGCACGUAUUGACGGUAACUAAUCAGAAAGCCACGGCUAACUACGUG